This 412-nucleotide long non-coding RNA is filed under the name Bos taurus (domestic cattle). Its description in RNAcentral is "long non-coding RNA NONBTAT020194". The record is from RNAcentral. Lineage: Eukaryota; Metazoa; Chordata; Mammalia; Artiodactyla; Bovidae.
GCCUGCCUGCCCUCUUGCUGUGCUCCUGCUUAAAGAAAUCAGUCCUUCCUUUCCGACUUAGUCCCCGGGAAGAAGUUUCAGCCUACGAGAUCUUAAAGCAACUUGUGCUACUUCAUUUGAAGAGAAUUAGGUAAUCAUUGAAAAGUUGAAGAUCAUCCAGCCGAAUUCAUAGAGAUUGGUAAUCAACCAGAGGUUCACGAGCAGACAUUUGACUGCUUACCUGUGAGUAGAGUUUAUGUGGUUUUGUUGGUGGGGAGGGCUCUGAUCUUAGCAAUUACAUAGCCUUUCUGCCUGAUUGUCUAAAUUCUUGCACCUAAAGAUGCAUUGUGAGAAACCAAGGGUUCUGCUAUGUCCUUCAUAGUUUAUUUACCAAGUAAUCUAACAAGUUUGAAAGAAUUGUUUACCUGUUUUG